GACGAACGCUGGCGGCGUGCCUAAUACAUGCAAGUUGAGCGCUGAAGGUUGGUACUUGUACCAACUGGAUGAGCAGCGAACGGGUGAGUAACGCGUGGGGAAUCUGCCUUUGAGCGGGGGACAACAUUUGGAAACGAAUGCUAAUACCGCAUAAAAACUUUAAACACAAGUUUUAAGUUUGAAAGAUGCAAUUGCAUCACUCAAAGAUGAUCCCGCGUUGUAUUAGCUAGUUGGUGAGGUAAAGGCUCACCAAGGCGAUGAUACAUAGCCGACCUGAGAGGGUGAUCGGCCACAUUGGGACUGAGACACGGCCCAAACUCCUACGGGAGGCAGCAGUAGGGAAUCUUCGGCAAUGGACGAAAGUCUGACCGAGCAACGCCGCGUGAGUGAAGAAGGGUUUCGGAUCGUAAAACUCUGUUGGUGGAGAAGAACGUUGGUGAGAGUGGAAAGCUCAUCAAGUGACGGUAACUACCCAGAAAGGGACGGCUAACUACGUG
Molecule: ribosomal RNA, 497 nt
Filed under: uncultured bacterium
Lineage: Bacteria
Description: partial 16S ribosomal RNA
Rfam family: Bacterial small subunit ribosomal RNA
Source: RNAcentral